Molecule: long non-coding RNA, 2026 nt
Organism: Arvicola amphibius (Eurasian water vole)
Lineage: Eukaryota; Metazoa; Chordata; Mammalia; Rodentia; Cricetidae
Exons: 4
Source: RefSeq, a predicted model, not a curated record
UCCACAGAAAACCCGGGUCUGCCAGAAAUACCUGUAGUCCCAGCCCCACGGAGGGAGAUACAGGAGGAGCCCUGGGGCUUACUGACCAGCCAGUCUAGACGGCUGUUGAAUGCUGUUGAAUUCUGUUUCACUGAGAGGCCCUGUCUUUAAGUAAGGGUGACUAAGGAAGAAAAUCGACAUUGACCUUUGGCCUCCUCAACCACACACUUGUGCACACAACACAGGCACACUUACAAACACACCCAAGAGAAGCAGCAGGCAAUGAUGCUAGUUGACCCUCACUGGCCUCGGGCAGCAGCAUCCUCCUGGCCAGAAUGUAGAACGUCGUCUUUGGAAGUCCAGUGGCGUUCUCAUGAGUUGACAGAGGCCCUGCUACAUCAAGGUCCUCAGGGGAUUAGGUGACACACACACAGUGCCUUAGGACACUCCUGAUAUCGGGAAUCUGUUCAUCCAUGGUGCUGAGGUCUGGGAGACGUGAGGACACCAUCAACCAAGAAGGUCUGUGACCCGCCACUCAGAAGACCCCAUGGAAUAUGGAGAGGACAAAAGACGAAAACAUCGCUGGGUGGAGGAAGCCCUCCCACCAUGUUUGUCUCUGAAAUCUGCAAAGUGGACGUGAGUUCCCAUGCUGCUUAGCAACCACAGAGCCACACGGGCGCUCUGCAUCCAUGUGAAAUAAAAUUCACCUGAACAGUCCCAUCAUCCUGGACUGCACACACGGAACUGCCCGUGUCUUCACGCGUGGCCCACACAGCAGUUCUGGCCGGGCGUGGUGGCUCACACCUUUAAUGUCAACCCCAGGAGGCAGAGGCAGGUGGAUCUAAGACCAGCCUGGUCUACGUGUAGGCCUGCAGUAAGAAAUGCACUCACUCCGACUGAUUACUUGCUGAGAUAGGCCACGGGGAUGGAAAAAAGCAUAUGUUUUAUGAUGAACGCCCUGAAACGUAAGUGGAAGCCACAGUGUGCCGGGCCCUUCACAUCUACAUAGCAGAGCACACAGCCCCAAACAGGCUUGCAAACUCCUGUCCAGUGUGUCUGGGGCUUCCCCUUCUCCUCGGUCCAGCCUCCUCUGGGAUGAUGUCGGUGGGGAAAGCAUUGGAAGCCCACAGCCCUCAGCCACGCCUCUGUCAACACCUCCCAGCUGUCUUGGGGUCAGACAGCUGAGAGGAUGGACAGGGAGCCAUGCUGGGGGGGUGGAGGGCUAUACUGAGUUACACUUCUGUGGAGGGCAUGGGCUGGCAGGUCUGAGCAUGAGAUUGCUAGUCUUUACAAAAUUCAAUCCAUCCCUUCUCUUAGAGUCCGUCACCCAGGUCUUCAGGAGAGCUUUUAGAGACAAGCAGGGUGACCAGCGGGUUCCCCAAGAAAAACCUCAUGGACAGAAGCUGCUUAGAGCUAAGUAGUCACUGAGGAGCUCCCCAAAAGGACUGUGGGCUGUGGGACAUCCCACGAACUCACCAUUGUGUUCUGGGUCACACGGUCCCCCUGGUUCCUGUCUCCUCUUCCCCGAUCUCCUGUACUCUCCGUAAGGUCCUGUGGUCCUUUACUGGGCUUAGCAUAGUCGCUAGGGCUCUGAUGGAUAUCUACUCCAUGAUGAGGGGUCUAAAGAAGCAACCGCGGGCUCCCCUCAGCAACCUCUUCAAAUGGUGUCAUUCCAAGAUACUCUCAAAGUAUCCAUUGUCAGGGAGACUCUUGGAGAGGGCACUGUCCCAAGAUGGACACAUCCGGCAUGAAAUGGGGCUGGCCCCUGCAAAAUCAACAAGGAGGAAGACAUCAUACACAGGUAUAGGACAGGAACAAACGGCCUCCACAUUCCAGCUUAGCAAUGGGGCAAAUGAAGUCAGAAGUCUAGACAGAGACGAGCAAGGACCACCUUCCCCAACUAGCAAAGUCCACGAAGUUUCCAAGCCUAAGAUGCCAUAACUUUUUGUUCUCUUUGUUUACUGAGUUCACUCUGAGGGCAUGGGCUCCCUUCCCCGAUGGCAUUUCCUUUCUUCCUUCCUUCCUUCCUUUCUUUCUUUCUUUCUUU